This is a long non-coding RNA of Gymnodraco acuticeps, 1970 nucleotides long. RefSeq lists it as uncharacterized. NCBI's taxonomy places the organism in Eukaryota, Metazoa, Chordata, Actinopteri, Perciformes, Bathydraconidae. The record is from RefSeq and is a predicted model, not a curated record. The transcript has 34 exons.
CAUGGCAGGACAUAAAUAGCGGACGGACCGUCUCCUCGUUCACUUCCUUCUCUCUCCUGUUCAAGAUGGGGAAGAAAGAUCCACAGACUGCUUGCUUGCUGCAAAGGUGUGAGAAGACUGGCGAGCCUUUCCUCAUCAGAGUUUCAAGGCCAUACAAGAAUGAAGGCUCUUUCUUUUAAGUUCGCAUUUCAAAUCGGCUGCAAGUGCACUGAGGUCCGAGUUUCUCAAGAUGCUUUGGGCAAGGACUACGCAUUAACAUCUCGACAUAUGAAUUGACUGAAGGCCUAAAGCUGUGCUGCUGAGUUCAAAGAUGCCUCUCUGGAUCAUGAUGCUCACUGCUCAACAACAAAGGGGUUUGCCCAGGUUAACAUCAAUGCUGAACUGGGAACCCAAGUCAUGAGGAUGGCCAACGCUGAUGUGUGACGCCGUCUGACUGUAGUGGUGUGUGUGGGGAACAAGUGCAGGACUGCUGCAGACUCCAGCUGCGUCUGCUGCUUCAGGUUUAAGAUGGGGAAGAACGAUCCACAGACUGCUUGCUGCAAAGAUUGGCCUGCGCUCUUCUAAUCGGCUGCAAGUGCACUGAGAUGCUUUGGGCAAGGACAACACAGGAAUAUUUCAACAUUGCCUCGUACCAGUGGAUGUGUGAAGCUGAGAAAAGCUGAACGAUGAAUUGACUGAAGGAAUCUUUUGUGAAGCUGAGGACAUGCUGAGAAAAUGUUUAGGAUGAAUUGACUGAAGGCCUAAAGCUGUGCUGCUGAGUUCAAAGAUGCCUCUCUGGAACAUGAUGCUCACUGCUCUAAAGGUCAGCAUCAAUGCUGAACUGGGAACCCUAGUUAUCAGGAUGGCCCAAGCGAAUGUGUGACACCAUCUGAUGCAAUCUGACUCGUGGAUCAGCACCGCUGCAGGACUGCUGCAGGUGUGACGCCGUCUGACUGUAGUCGUGUGUGUGGGGAACAGGUGCAGGACUGCUGCAGAUGGGGAAGAACGAUCCAGACUGCUUGCUGCAAAGAUUGGCCUGCGCUCUUCUAAUCGGCUGCAAGUGCACUGAGAUGCUUUGGGCAAGGACAACACAGGAAUAUUUCAACAUUGCCUCGUACCAGUGGAUGUGUGAAGCUGAGAAAAGCUGAAUGAUGAAUUGACUGAAGGAAUCUUUUGUGAAGCUGAGGACAUGCUGAGAAAAUGUUUAGGAUGAAUUGACUGAAGGCCUAAAGCUGUGCUGCUGAGUUCAAAGAUGCCUCUCUGGAUCAUGAUGCUCACUGCUCUAAAGGUCAGCAUCAAUGCUGAACUGGGAACCCUAGUUAUCAGGAUGGCCCAAGCGAAUGUGUGACACCAUCUGAUGCAAUCUGACUCGUGGAUCAGCACCGCUGCAGGACUGCUGCAGGGCCUCUUACCAGUGGAUGUGUGAAUCUGAGGACAUGCUGAGAAAGGUUUUAGGCUGUGAUGCAAUCUGAUGCAAUCUGACUCGUGGAUCAGCACCGCUGCAGGACUGCUGCAGGUGUGACGCCGUCUGACUUUAGUGAUGUGUGAGAACAGCACGAUGCACGACUGCUGCAGAUGCUUUAGGGAAGAGCGACACAUGUACGGCUCAUGGACAUCUCAACAUGUAAGACUCAAUGACUCAAGAAAUCAUGUGUGAAGCUGUGGACAUGCUGAGAACAUUUUAAGGAUGAAUUGACUGAAGGCCUAAAGCUGUGCUGCUGAGUUCAAAGAUGCCUCUCUGGAACAUGAUGCUCACUUCUCAACAACAAAGGGGUUUGCCCAGAAACCGGUUGUCAUGAAGAGAGGUCCAAAGCCAUCUUGUUCUGCAACACAAUCCUGCAGUUUUCCAAGCUGUGGUACAGCCUUUCCUGGACAUGUUAUAGUUUGGAGUGCACAGUUAAAUCCUUACUUGUAUUUCCAGAUUGCUGGAAUUUGAUACCAAAUAAAUAAGUGUACGACAGCUCUUAACUGUGAUACUUUAUUAACACCCA